CCAGACUCCUACGGGAGGCAGCAGUGGGGAAUAUUGCACAAUGGGGGAAACCCUGAUGCAGCAACGCCGCGUGAGUGAAGAAGUAUUUCGGUAUGUAAAGCUCUAUAAGCAGGGAAGAAGAAGGACGGUACCUGACUAAGAAGCCCCGGCUAACUACGUGCCAGCAGCCGCGGUAAUACGUAGGGGGCGAGCGUUAUCCGGAUUUACUGGGUGUAAAGGGAGCGUAGACGGUUAAUCAAGUCUGAAGUGAAAGCCCGCGGCUCAACUGCGGGACGGCUUUGGAAACUGAGUAACUGGAGUGCUGGAGGGGCAGGCGGAAUUCCUGGUGUAGCGGUGAAAUGCGUAGGUAUCAGGAGGAACACCGGUGGCGAAGGCGGCCUGCUGGGCAGUAACUGACGUUGAGGCUCGAAAGCGUGGGGAGCAAACAGGAUUAGAUACCCCCGUA
This 445-nucleotide ribosomal RNA is filed under the name uncultured bacterium. Its description in RNAcentral is "bacterial SSU rRNA". It matches the Rfam family "Bacterial small subunit ribosomal RNA", at positions 331 to 792 of the family's 1533-position model. The record is from RNAcentral.